AUGUGUAUGGUUAAUAGUCAUGUAGUCAUGUGUAUGGUUAAUAGUCAUGUAGUCAUGUGUAUAGUUAAUAAUCAUGUAGUCAUGUGUAUGGUUAAUAGUCAUGUAGUCAUGUGUAUGAUUAAUAAUAAUGUAGUCAUGUGUAUGGUUUAUAAUCAUUUAGUCAUGUGUAUGGUUAAUAAUCAUGUAGUCAUGUGUAUGGUUAAUAGUCAUGUAGUCAUGUGUAUGAUUAAUAAUAAUGUAGUCAUGUGUAUGGUUUAUAAUCAUUUAGUCAUGUGUAUGGUUAAUAAUCAUGUAGUCAUGUGUAUGGUUAAUAAUCAUGUAGUCAUGUGUAUGGUUAAUAGUCGUGUGUGUAUGGUUAAUAGUCGUGUGUGUAUGGUUAAUAGUCGUGUAGUCAUGUGUAUGGUUAAUAGUCAUGUAGUCAUGUGUAUGGUUAAUAAUCAUGUAGUCAUGUGUAUGGUUAAUAGUCGUGUGUGUAUGGUUAAUAGUCGUGUGUGUAUGGUUAAUAGUCUUGUGUGUAUGGUUAAUAGUCAUGUGUGUAUGGUUAAUAGUCAUGUAGUCAUGUGUAUGGUUAAUAGUCAUGUAGUCAUGUCUAUGGUUAAUAAUCAUGUAGUCAUGUGUAUGGUUAAUAGUCGUGUGUGUAUGGUUAAUAGUCGUGUGUGUAUGGUUAAUAGUCAUGUAGUCAUGUGUAUGGUUAAUAGUCGUGUAGUCAUGUGUAUGGUUAAUAGUCAUGAUGGUAUGGUUAAUAGUCGUGUGUGUAUGGUUAAUAGUCUUGUGUGUAUGGUUAAUAGUCAUGUGUGUAUGGUUAAUAGUUGUGUGUGUAUGGUUAAUAGUUGUGUGUGUAUGGUUAAUAGUCGUGUGUGUGUGGUUAAUAGUCGUGUGUGUAUGGUUAAUAGUCAUGUGUGUAUGGUUAGUAGUUGUGUGAGUAUGGUUAGUAGUAGUGUGUGUAUGGUUAAUAGUCAUGUGUGUAUGGUUAAUAGUCAUGUAGUCAUGUCUAUGGUUAAUAGUCAUGUAGUCAUGUGUAUGGUUAGUAGUCGUGUGUGUGUAUGGUUAAUAGUCGUGUGUGUAUGGUUAAUAGUCGUGUGUGUAUGGUUAAUAGUCCUGUGUGUAUGGUUAGUAGUCGUGUGUGUAUGGUUAAUAAUCAUGUAG
Molecule: long non-coding RNA, 1146 nt
Filed under: Oncorhynchus mykiss (rainbow trout)
Lineage: Eukaryota; Metazoa; Chordata; Actinopteri; Salmoniformes; Salmonidae
Description: lncRNA (ENSOMYG00000052461.1)
Source: RNAcentral